GUUGACCUGGCGGCAGGCCUACACAUGCAAGUCGAGCGGUAACAGAGGGUAGCUUGCUACUUUGCUGACGAGCGGCGGACGGGUGAGUAAGGCUUGGGUAUCUGCCCAGUCGUGGGGGAUAACCAUUGGAAACGAUGGCUAAUACCGCAUACGCCCUACGGGGGAAAGGAGGGGAUCUUCGGACCUUUCGCGAUUGGAUGAGCCCAAGUGAGAUUAGCUAGUUGGUGAGGUAAUGGCUCACCAAGGCAACGAUCUCUAGCUGGUCUGAGAGGAUGACCAGCCACACUGGGACUGAGACACGGCCCAGACUCCUACGGGAGGCAGCAGUGGGGAAUAUUGCACAAUGGGGGAAACCCUGAUGCAGCCAUGCCGCGUGUGUGAAGAAGGCCUUCGGGUUGUAAAGCACUUUCAGUGGUGAGGAAAGGCAGGAGAUUAAUACUCUUCUGCUGUGACGUUACCCAGAAGAAGCACCGGCUACUCCGUGCCACAACCGCGGUAAUCCGGAGGGUGCAAGCGUUAAUCGAAUGACUGGGCGUAACGACGCAGC
Molecule: ribosomal RNA, 547 nt
Filed under: Shewanella sp. SIGA172a
Lineage: Bacteria; Pseudomonadati; Pseudomonadota; Gammaproteobacteria; Alteromonadales; Shewanellaceae
Description: bacterial SSU rRNA
Rfam family: Bacterial small subunit ribosomal RNA
Source: RNAcentral